CCGUAGCCCUUCGUUGCGCUCCCUCUGGCAGCUCCAUGCCUCUCGAGAGGGGCGAUGUGCAGGGCCCCCCAGCUGAUGUUGCCCUUCCCCAGGGCCAAGCUCUGCGCGCUGCCCUGUACCGCUUCCGCUGCCCGCUCUGCCAGGACAUGCAGACCUUCCAGGCAGAGAUGUACCGCCUCGGCAUCAAAAUCCCUGACAGGGAUGCAGCCUGGGAAGAGGAUGGAGCCUUUGAAGACCUCUUGCAGAGGCACAGCUCCUGCGAUGCCAGCCUGUGCCUGUGCCCCCAGGGACGGGAGCAGUCGGAGGACGUGGGGCCCUGGAGGCUGCUGCUCUGCAGCUCCUGCGGUUCCUCUGGGACCCACCAGCUCUGCUCCGCCAUCGGAGAAGACACCGAGAACUGGGAGUGCAGCGGCUGCAGUGGUGUGGGCACCGCCCCUUCAGGAUCAGCCCCGGUGUAGUGAACCCUGCACAGCACCCCAGCUCCUGGCACUUCGGCUCCAGCACAUGAGGCUGCGACGCUCCAGGGACACCCCGACGCCCAGCUGCCUGCACAGCCCACAGGAAGCCCCUCGGCCACUCCAGCCUCCCAGCCGCUGA
RNAcentral lists this long non-coding RNA (597 nucleotides) under Numida meleagris (helmeted guineafowl). Its description in RNAcentral is "lncRNA (ENSNMEG00000015535.1)". The record is from RNAcentral. Lineage: Eukaryota; Metazoa; Chordata; Aves; Galliformes; Numididae.